ACGCUCGACACCUACUGGAGGCAGCAGUGGGGAAUAUUGCACAAUGGGGGAAACCCUGAUGCAGCGACGCCGCGUGGAGGAAGAAGGUCUUCGGAUUGUAAACUCCUGUUGUUGGGGAAAAAGAGGAUGGUACCCAACAAGGAAGUGACGGCUAACUACGUGCCAGCGGCCGCGGUAAUCUGAGCGGGCUGGCAAGGC
Molecule: ribosomal RNA, 198 nt
Filed under: uncultured bacterium
Lineage: Bacteria
Description: partial 16S ribosomal RNA
Rfam family: Bacterial small subunit ribosomal RNA
Source: RNAcentral